AUGUUAAACUUCCUAAAAGUGGCCUUCUCUUCAUAGCUGAUAGGCAUUCAGGAUGGGUAUCUCUCCCUGCUGACGGAAAGUGGUGAAGUUCGUGAGGAUCUAAAGUUGCCAGAAGGGGAUCUCGGCAAAGAAAUAGAAGGAAAAUUCAAUGCCAAUGAAGAUGUGCAGAUUUCUGUCAUAAGUGCAAUGAAUGAAGAAUGUGCUGUAGCCAUAAAGCCUUGCAAGUAAAGAAGAUCGCCAGGCUCGGGCAACUGCUCAGGUCUGGACAAACCACAGAUCUAUAAAUUUGGUUCUUAUUGUCACCAAAGCUCUGGCCUUCACAAGCAACCUCAUUUCCUUUUUGAAUUGUUAAAAAGCAGUGCUGGAUUCUGGAUUAGUGUUGCAGGCUAACUGGCAGUUUUCAAAAUCACUGAGAUUUUAAUUCCUUAAUUGUAACUAUUUUAACAUUCCUGUGGGUUUCAGCUAUGGAUCUAAGAAACCAAUCAGGUGUUACUAGUGGAUAUAUUUUUAUUUGCUUGAGCAAAACAGUGUUUGUCUGUAUGAACAGACAAAAUACAGUAUUCAGGGGCUUUUAGAUAAGCUGGUAGGUAUCUAGGAUUAUAAAGUGACCUAGAGCACAAAUAGUAUUUUUCUCGACAUCUUUAGGUAGAACUGACAAUAAAAGUAGCCUUUUUUUUUCUUUUUUUUAAAGCUUAAGUACUUUGUGGAUUGGGACUCUUGCAGAACUGUAGGUGCCAAUCACAACUUUUAGACCAAGAAACUCAAGUGAUCAGAAAUGCCAGCUGGCUUGACCAAGCCCCGGUGGCCAUGUGCAACUUAACUGUAUUACCUCUGUUUUCUUCUUUGCCAACUUGUUGGCUUAUUGUAAUGAUAAAAUGGUUUAAAAAAAAAAAAAGCCUACCUGUAGUUUAGGCAGGCAAUUGGAAUAUUGGGUAGAUAAGACAUAGAUAGGUCAAGGGGACACAAAGGUGAGAAUGGAUGUUAAAGCUAUAGACUUUCACUCGAGGCCUUUGUCAGACUUGAAAAAUAAAAUAGAAAAAUGCAGUUCAAUUGCUUUCCUUUAUUAUAUUUAUCUUAAAACUAUAAAAGGGUGACAAACUCCAUGGGAAUCUGUUGCAGUGCUUCCAGCUUUAGGUUUUAACCUUCAGGUUCAGACCAUAUUUUUGUAGCACAGGGACCACAUGUUUUUCAAAAAGUGGGACAAACUGUAGCAUUGAGCCUAAACUAAAUGCAUGUGAUUCUUUUUAAGAAAAAAAUAAAACUAUUGUAUUUUCAAAAUAUAAACUUGACAGACGAUACCGAACAACCAUGGCUUAACUAUAAAAGUAAAACACUUGCUACCUAGUUAGGAAAGCUGGCUCCUGUCCUAGAGAGUUCUGAGUCAUAGCAACACGCCUGCAUGCCUCUAACUAUAUAGUAGCUUAACAAGGCUUCACAGCAAUAGUUAUGGAAGGAUAAUUAGCCUGCUCCUGUUUAAGGCGUUCAGCUUGAAUUCUAAGACUUGGUGACUCUUCAUGAGUGGGAAACUUCCUUAGUCCAUGGCUCAGACCUCUCUUCACAGUUGAUAAAUUGUUCCAUGAACUUGCCUUAAUCUUCAGUGGCUGGUGGAGGAUGACACGUAAGCUCGUGGCUUGCUGCCCCAGACAGCACGCACAACUCGCACCACUGGCAGUGAGAGUCAGGCUUCACGCUGCUCUCAGCUGCUUCAGAUGUGUUCAGCUUCAUAGUUUGUACUCUCUAGUCCCCGAAGGGCUCGUGGCAACUGUCCUGAACGGCCCUUGGACACACCGUGGCAGGGCUUAGCAAAUGCAGAUGGCAAAAACAUGCAUUUCCCACAGACUCCUCGUGCCAGGGAGAGCAGUACCAGUGAUGGUAAAGACAGCAAUAAAUACACUCUGGUAAUAAAGCACAGUUACCUGGGACACCUGGCAGAAGCAGGACCUGCCUCAUGCUCUUGCCUAGCACAACACAUGUUGCAGGUGAACUCUGUAAAUAGCACCUUGACUGAAAUGGCAAAGCUGCUCUUAGAAGAAGCUGUAGACUGCAAUGCCUUCAGAAUAGUUCUGAAGCGUGUGUGGAAUAGGUGAGGCUACUCUGCACUAUGCUCAUUCCUGCCUCUCCAUUGGGCUGGUACCUGGAAGACAGGCUUUGUUGGCUUUGGAGGUGACUAAAAGCACUGAUGAUAGUGCUGACAGCAAUUUGAGCUGUGGUGUCACGUGGGAAGUCAUAGGUUGCUAUAUCAAAGUAAUGCAAGUUCUAAUGCUAUCACCAUAUUACAAAUACUUCUAAUGGGCUUGAAAACUACGAGACUUGAAUUUGUCCUUGGUCUUGGUAGUGUUUUAGUCUACUUUCAGAUGCCUGCCUAUCCUUCCUUGUUGGAAGACAGGUAUUUGAUGCCACUGGCUCACAAUUCUGAGCAGUUACUCAGACUAAGCUCUCUGGGACCAGGGCUGGUUUUAGUCCUGUUCCUACAAGCGGGGUUCAGGCCUGACUGGAGUUUUCAAGUAAUACAGCAAUCUAAAGAUAGAGGUUUUAUGACCUCCAGCUUGCUGCAAGAGCCCUCCUUGGGCCUUUCAGACAUCCUUCUAUUGCAACCUUCAGUUCUGCAAGAUUUAAAUGGUUAAGUACUUCAUUAUAGGUUUGUUCUUAUAUACUUAGUUGUCUUUUGUGAAGCACUUCAGACACCAUGGAAGUGCAAAGCAUCAUGCAUGAAGCUUCCCAUAAGAUAAUACAUAAGCAUGUCUUAAGCAUAAUCUCCAAGUUUCAGUAAGGUUAAAAGUUGCUUCUGAAUUAGAACAUGUAUUUGAGGCAUUUUUUUUUUCCAAACUGAGAUGUUUCAGUUUCCUGUCAGAAUCGUUGCAACAAACUUUUUUUGUGAUCAGUAAUCCAUAGAGUUGUGUAUUUUUAAGAUCCAUAACCAAGUGCUUAGGGAAGUUCUCUCAUAGCUUCGCUUAAAAAGAAAUCUUACCAGUGUAUUUGUUCUGUAUUACUGUCUUAACACUUAAAUUGUGUCAAAAUCAUAAACUAUAAACUUUUGAUAGCUGAUGGCAAUUGCUUAAAGGCUGUGAACACAGGGAGAUGAUGAGAGGUGUUUCCACUCCAAAUAAUGCAUUUUUUUAUGGCUCCUGUUCGUUGAGUUUCUCUUACUACUUUACACAAUUGGAAAGACUGCAGUGUUUCCUGCCUCAAAUGUUGGCAAAUAAUACUUUGAGAUUUCAAUAGAUCCUUCUAAUUUUUGCUUACAAUGGUGGUUUUUCAACUGGGCUCUUGCUGGUUGAGCCAUGUUCUCAGGGCUGUUUUUUUUAAGAAGUUAGCUGAAGUUCAUUGUUUCUCUUGCAGGUUUUUGUACACAGUGUACCCAGAAACGGUGCACGGUCUGUAGUUUCACAAUGCAGAUAAUUUUACAUAAUCUGUAAAGAAGUCAAGUUUGUUGACAGUUCAAACUCUUAUGGUUGCUGCAGGUCAGUCUCACAGAACUCAAAAUUCAAUAAAUCCCACUUUUUUUCCUUUUAUUUUAUUUGGUUGAGUAAUUAGAAUGUAGUUUGUUACAGUAGAACUAAAUUCAGGCUAUUAAAAGAACCUUGCUAAGGAUAUUUCGAGUAUCCACUGGGAAUGUUGUGAAGGUGUGGAUCCUGGAGGCGUGGUGGAGCGAUCAGCAUGGAAUGAGGGGGUCGGGAGCCUCUCCAGCACCUGCAGCCCGGCCCUACAGGAUUUGGCACCCGAGAGUGACUUGGUUUGUGAACUCCAAGGAACUGUUUGCUGUGCUUUGCUGUAUCGCAGAAACCCUUGUUGUCCUGUGCUGUCUGUUGUAAGCAAACCCGUCUUCUCCGGGAGAAAAGGGGAGCGACGGCCACAGCUGGAGUUACGGAUCAUGGGACAAUCCAAACCCUGCUCCCGGCCCGAGCGGCUCCCGCGGCUCUCUUUUGGAAGCUUGUGUUCUCAACACCAUGGAAACGAUCAGGGGAAAAGAGAUUUGUACGUGUGUGUUUUGCUCCAGAAAUAAUAAUAAUAAAGGUGUCAGUGCUGUGGG
Neopelma chrysocephalum (saffron-crested tyrant-manakin) is the source of this 4030-nucleotide long non-coding RNA. RefSeq lists it as uncharacterized. NCBI's taxonomy places the organism in Eukaryota, Metazoa, Chordata, Aves, Passeriformes, Pipridae. The transcript is spliced from 2 exons. The record is from RefSeq and is a predicted model, not a curated record.